RNAcentral lists this non-coding RNA (54 nucleotides) under unclassified sequences. RNAcentral's name for it is "Mu-gpT-DE RNA". It matches the Rfam family "Mu-gpT-DE RNA". The record is from Rfam by way of RNAcentral.
CCUUGACAGUUGUAUUUUGCAACUGACACUAGCCAAGACAAGGAGACACACAUG